GCUAAACCCAGUUCCUUUGAGCAGCAACUUGAGGCUUCACGUAGAGCAAGUGAAAUCAAGAAGUUCCUUUUCCAUGGCGCCCCAACUGCCUUAGUGAGCUUGGUAGGGCACAAGCAGUACAGGAGAUGUGCGAGAGAUAUCUUCUAUUUCACUCAGUCAAACGUAUGCAUAAAGCAACUCACA
Molecule: non-coding RNA, 183 nt
Organism: Camelina sativa (false flax)
Lineage: Eukaryota; Viridiplantae; Streptophyta; Magnoliopsida; Brassicales; Brassicaceae
Source: RefSeq, a predicted model, not a curated record